This 500-nucleotide long non-coding RNA is filed under the name Mytilus galloprovincialis (Mediterranean mussel). The record is from RNAcentral. Lineage: Eukaryota; Metazoa; Mollusca; Bivalvia; Mytilida; Mytilidae.
UUUUUUGCUGUUUCCAUGGCAACGGCGGCCAUUUUGAAAAUUCCAAACUCAAAAGUCAAGUCUACAUAAGCUAGGCAACAUUUGUUAUAAGUUUCAUUAAAUUUAAAGCAUUUUGAAAAUUUGAAGUUUUUCAUAUUUUUGCUGUUUCCAUGGUAACGGCGGCCAUUUUGAAUAUUCCAAAGUCAAACCCCCGCUGCAAUUUUUUCCCUCCAUAAUCAUAUAUACCAUUUAAUGUCUCUAGAAUAAAUUUAACAUUGAUGUUCUGGAAUGUUCUGUGAAAAUUCAAAGUUUUGACCUUUUUGCAUUGUUUCCAUGGUAACAACAGAUAUUUUGGAAAUUCCAACGCCAAAUUCCACAUCUUCCAAUGUUGCUCAUCGUUACUGUGAAGUUUCAUGAAGUUUGGAGCAUUUUGAUAUUUUUGAAAUUUUUGGUGUAGUUUCCAUGGCAACAUAGUAGUUCCAAUGAGUGCCAAAAUCAUCCAACACCUGUAUAUAGUGGGC